AGAAAUGCUGGGAUGAAGGAGAGUUUCAAGUGACAUUUUCUUGUAAAUAAAUAUCAGCUAAUGUCUUUUUCAAAAUGGCUGACUAGAUACCCAGAAUGAUCGUCCCCAAUGAGAAGAAAUAAAUGUGUUAAGUGAAACAUAAAAAGGCAUUGCUGAACUGGUAUGGUAACAAGGAAUCUGCAGAGAUGCAUUUGUUGGGAAAGUAGAGAUCCACUUCACAUCUUGGGAUCCACUCUGAUGGCUUCAUUGACAACAGAUCAUAAACUCUAGGACUCAUCAAAGGGACAGACUUUCAGGGCAGAUUACCAGGAGACAGCUUUUACAAUGAGUGCACUGGAAAGAGGAAGGAAAAAGUCAUUUUGCUGCUUCAUGUGUUGCCUACACAGCGACUGUUACAGUGGUUUCAGCAGAGUCAGUGGUGGUGUCAAGAGCAUCUGGAACAGAGACGGCAGCUUAGUUCAUAUGAAGCAGCAAUAGCAACAGAAGAAGAGGCAGUGACAUCACCCUCAGUUUGUUGGGGAAUGUCUGCAACCAUCAGUUCUCCUCUGUUGCUAAGAGCUCCAGCACAGCAUUGUCUUCUGUUAAAUGAAGCAGCAUGAAUGAACCCAGCU
This 611-nucleotide long non-coding RNA is filed under the name Rhinopithecus bieti (black snub-nosed monkey). Its description in RNAcentral is "lncRNA (ENSRBIG00000045526.1)". The record is from RNAcentral. Lineage: Eukaryota; Metazoa; Chordata; Mammalia; Primates; Cercopithecidae.